Molecule: ribosomal RNA, 584 nt
Filed under: uncultured bacterium
Lineage: Bacteria
Description: partial 16S ribosomal RNA
Rfam family: Bacterial small subunit ribosomal RNA
Source: RNAcentral
UGGGGAAUUUUGGACAAUGGGCGAAAGCCUGAUCCAGCAAUGCCGCGUGUGUGAAGAAGGCCUUCGGGUUGUAAAGCACUUUUGUCCGGAAAGAAAUCCUUGGCUCUAAUACAGUCGGGGGAUGACGGUACCGGAAGAAUAAGCACCGGCUAACUACGUGCCAGCAGCCGCGGUAAUACGUAGGGUGCAAGCGUUAAUCGGAAUUACUGGGCGUAAAGCGUGCGCAGGCGGUUUGCUAAGACCGAUGUGAAAUCCCCGGGCUCAACCUGGGAACUGCAUUGGUGACUGGCAGGCUAGAGUAUGGCAGAGGGGGGUAGAAUUCCACGUNUAGCAGUGAAAUGCGUAGAGAUGUGGAGGAAUACCGAUGGCGAAGGCAGCCCCCUGGGGCCAAUACUGACGCUCAUGCACGAAAGCGUGGGGAGCAAACAGGAUUAGAUACCCUGGUAGUCCACGCCCUAAACGAUGUCAACUAGUUGUUGGGGAUUCAUUUCCUUAGUAACGUAGCUAACGCGUGAAGUUGACCGCCUGGGGAGUACGGUCGCAAGAUUAAAACUCAAUGAAUUGACGGGGUCAUAGCUGUUUCC